This is a long non-coding RNA of Argentina anserina (silverweed cinquefoil), 745 nucleotides long. RefSeq lists it as uncharacterized. Lineage: Eukaryota; Viridiplantae; Streptophyta; Magnoliopsida; Rosales; Rosaceae. The record is from RefSeq and is a predicted model, not a curated record. The transcript is spliced from 5 exons.
CCACUGGACACCGAACACCACCGCCACCUUGUCAGCUUUGUGCCGCCGCCGUCUGUCGAUUCCAAUCGCAUACAACCACACUAUUCAACUCCCCACUUCAUUCUCUAGAAAACCAUGUUUUUCGAUUAAGCAAACACCCAAGUUUUUCCCCAAAUCGGUCUUGAGACAGACCAAGCCAUUUGAAGGGCUUCCAGCGAUUCCAUGGCUCCGGCGAGCUUUUUAACCUUCACCUUGGUCUCUCCUCCAUUGUUCUCCCCCUUCUCAGCGUAACCAAGACUCUCCGAUGAGCAUGUCAACCUUAUCUUGACAAAGUGGUAGCUACAUGGAGGCUCUGAAGUGAAUUUGAAAUGCAGCGGUGUGGCAGCUACAACUAGGAUUCAAGAGCACGGUGCCCAGCAACCUCCGAUUUCGACUUUGAGUUCUUGGAGAGUUGAUGCAAUGAGAUCGUACAAAGCUAGAGCAGCAAUAGCAGGAUUACUUUCGAAACUGGAAUAGCAGCGAGGAUUCUGCACUUCAAUCCAGUUUUCUGUGCAGGUUAGGAGCCAGCAAGAGUUUAGGAAAUAUGAAGUUUAGGAGUACACACCAUUUGAAUCGUUUGAAGUCAUUUUUAUUCUAUUAGUUCUCUCUUGUAUCUUGUUCUUAUUUAGAUAUAAGUUCUGAGGUUGUAUUAUAAACCAUGUCACAUUCGUUGUAUAUUUUGGGUUGUCAUAGUUGUAUUUAUUUUGUGCUGGUGACUCUUUGAUUA